GGAGACUCCCAGGCUCUUGGUAGGCGGUGUCUGACGGUGCCAAUUGGGGGUGUGAUGUACAGUGGAAAUAAUAGUCACAGUAAUGACAACGGAACUAUUAAGAAAUAAUAGUUGUAGUAGUUAAUGCAUAGCGGGGCACUGCAAGCCAAGAAAUCUAGACACACCCUAACGGCAGCAAAUGUAAUUUGCACCCAGGGUCGGUCUAGCAACUCUCCGUUGGCUUGCGAGCUGGAAAAACCGAACUCUAGUCAGGCCAAUCACAUCGUGUAUAGAGUCAGUGGGCGGGCUUAAUAUAAUGGCAGAAUUGCGACAGUUCAGUGUAAAUUCCCUGCUAAUUGAAAACAAAGAAGAUGGCUGCUGCGUGCUGGCAAACAGCAGCUUUUCCAAUCAGCUUUGCCCGUGACUCUAGAAGACUUGGAGUCAUGUUUUUCUUUGAGAAAAG
This is a long non-coding RNA of Etheostoma spectabile (orangethroat darter), 442 nucleotides long. RefSeq lists it as uncharacterized. The record is from RefSeq and is a predicted model, not a curated record. Lineage: Eukaryota; Metazoa; Chordata; Actinopteri; Perciformes; Percidae. The transcript is spliced from 2 exons.